CACCUUGACUUUCCUCUCUACUGGUUUGAGCGUCAUCACUCCCGAAAGGCGAUCAUAGAUUUCCGGUGACCAACAAUUUUUCCUUUUUAGACCAAUUAAUUACCUUUAAGUGGUGGUGACUACGGUGAUGGCUGUCGAGUGAUGAAUGUCACUAUGGAGAAAAUGAAGGUGAUUAUGGAAGAAUAAGUGAUUGGUGAAAAGGUGAUGGAUGAGGCGGCGUUGAUGGAGAUACAAUGUACCAUUGGCCAAGGCACAUGUCCUCUAUGCUGGAUGCAGGCUAUUCAGCAGCUACAGACAGACAUGUCUGAAGCUCAGAGUAAUGUAAUGCACAUGUCGCCGCCAGGAAGGAGGUUACCUCUUGCUUAGUGAGAUCGCCGAUCAGCUACGUUAUCCCAACAGAUACACACAUUACUUUUCCUACAUCAUGUUCUAUCUGUUUGUGUCGGAGAUAGAGAGCCUUUGUUGCUAGGAAACACA
Molecule: long non-coding RNA, 477 nt
Organism: Brassica oleracea var. oleracea
Lineage: Eukaryota; Viridiplantae; Streptophyta; Magnoliopsida; Brassicales; Brassicaceae
Exons: 3
Source: RefSeq, a predicted model, not a curated record